AUACGGAGGAUCCGAGCGUUAUCCGGAUUUAUUGGGUUUAAAGGGUGCGCAGGCGGCCAUUUAAGUCAGCGGUUAAAUCGUGGGGCUCAGCCCCAUUCUGCCGUUGAUACUGGGUGGCUUGAUUGCGGUCGAGGCUGGCGGAAUUCGUUGUGUAGCGGUGAAAUGCAUAGAUAUGACGAAGAACACCGAUUGCGUAGGCAGCUGACCAGACCGCAAAUGACGCUCAUGCACGAAAGUGCGGGGAUCGAACAGGAUUAGAUACCCUGGUAGUCCGCACAGUAAACGAUGAAUACUUGUUUUCGGCGAUAUAAUGUCGGAGGCAAAGCGAAAGCGAUAAGUAUUCCACCUGGGGAGUACGCCGGCAACGGUGAAACUCAAAGGAAUUGACGGGG
RNAcentral lists this ribosomal RNA (392 nucleotides) under uncultured bacterium. RNAcentral describes it as "partial 16S ribosomal RNA". It matches the Rfam family "Bacterial small subunit ribosomal RNA", at positions 523 to 918 of the family's 1533-position model. The record is from RNAcentral.